Long non-coding RNA from Cyprinus carpio (common carp), 124 nucleotides. RefSeq lists it as uncharacterized. The record is from RefSeq and is a predicted model, not a curated record. The transcript is spliced from 3 exons. NCBI's taxonomy places the organism in Eukaryota, Metazoa, Chordata, Actinopteri, Cypriniformes, Cyprinidae.
CGAAGACACACAGAUGCGAGGAGAAGCAGUCAGAUGCAAAGGUUUGACCACGUCAGGAGCUGGUUCAUUGUGAGGAUUAACCCUGACAACAGCAAGUGCUCCUCAAAGUUCCAGGUCACCAAAA